UCUAUGGUCUUAAAGGGACUUUGCUGAGAAUCGCUCCAAACAACCGCGUGCGUUGUGACCUUUUCGAAUGAUUCGCGAUCUGAUUCAGGGAGAUUCAUUAAAAGGAAACGACUCAGUUAUUCAUUCUUGAAUCAAAUAUCGUUAGUUCUUUUUGUAAACAGUCAAUAGAAAAUAAGGAUGCACGACUUAUUUCUCAAGACGGUACCAGGACCGCACAAGACACAUGUCCUAUUAAAGGAGCUUCGUCCACCACCUUCUCCAUCCAGUCUAGUCCACCAUCUUCCAAUGGGCAGAGCUACAUAGCGUCAUUAGGCUACUUGGUGAGUGCUGCGGAUGGGCAGGUGAGGAGUGUACCUGUCUGCCUUUGAGGCUCAGAGACCUGGCUGACGGCCUAAUGCUGAGAGGCAUGAGUAGGAAAUGGACAGUAGAGAGGGCGUUGGUGAAGUGUUAUGAAGCGCACACCCAUAGUCUCAUCACAUAUAAGUUAAUAAGUCCCUUUCCAUCCACUGAAAUGGCAGUGAAAUGCUGAAAGAAACAGCUCAAGUGGAACGGCAUGGAGCCAUGGUUUCAAAAGUUACGAGAACAGCUGGCAGUCUCAGUUAUUUGACUGCCAUAAUACAGUCUGAAGUCUUUAUUGGAUUACAUAACUCUUCUGGCAACAUUUGAGAGGGCAAGACGUGGAAUAAUAUUAUAAGCCCCCUGAUUGAAUACCUUAAUUUACCAGGAGCUAGAAGUUCAUCAGAGUUGGGAAAACAAAAGUCUCUCAUAUAUUCUAAGCUCUGCCGGCUCCAUGCAGGGAAUGGGAUGGGUUUCAUAAAUCUCCGAGCCAAGUUCCUUUGAGUCCAUUGGGGGGCCAGGCAUCAGCCAUGACUCAGUCUUUCAAGUGUAACUCGAGCCAAGACAUCUGCAUCGCUCGAGAGGAGGGUACUGAGGCGCAGAUUUGGAACACUCAGCGUUGGGAAUUUUGGGAAGCAGUGAUGCCUAUCAAUGACCCACUUUGAUUUCAAAAUGCUAAUUUGUUCUUUGUUGCCACAAGAUGUUGUUAUUGUGUGACUGAUUGUCAGAGGAGCCACUGAUUUUAAGAGGAAACAAGAAAAGUGAGUUUAUUGGAGAUAACAGUUACUGAAUUGAGCUGGAUAACGACACUCGUUUCUUCCUCAGAGCUGGUUUAUAGCUGAAUCGGCUUCAUAAUUGACACUUAUUGAACUGAAUUGAAUCAGCAUUGAAUAACC
Molecule: long non-coding RNA, 1232 nt
Organism: Megalobrama amblycephala (Wuchang bream)
Lineage: Eukaryota; Metazoa; Chordata; Actinopteri; Cypriniformes; Xenocyprididae
Exons: 7
Source: RefSeq, a predicted model, not a curated record